UGGCGAACGGGUGAGUAAUACAUCGGAACGUGUCCGCUCGUGGGGGACAACCAGCCGAAAGGUUGGCUAAUACCGCAUGAGUUCUACGGAAGAAAGAGGGGGACCCACAAGGGCCUCUCGCGAGCGGAGCGGCCGAUGACUGAUUAGCCGGUUGGUGAGGUAACGGCUCACCAAAGCAACGAUCAGUAGCUGGUCUGAGAGGACGACCAGCCACACUGGGACUGAGACACGGCCCAGACUCCUACGGGAGGCAGCAG
This 257-nucleotide ribosomal RNA is filed under the name uncultured bacterium. Its description in RNAcentral is "partial 16S ribosomal RNA". It matches the Rfam family "Bacterial small subunit ribosomal RNA", at positions 96 to 354 of the family's 1533-position model. The record is from RNAcentral.